Long non-coding RNA from Xenia sp. Carnegie-2017, 340 nucleotides. RefSeq lists it as uncharacterized. The transcript has 2 exons. NCBI's taxonomy places the organism in Eukaryota, Metazoa, Cnidaria, Anthozoa, Malacalcyonacea, Xeniidae. The record is from RefSeq and is a predicted model, not a curated record.
AAGGUAAAGAUUUCGAUGCAGAUCGCACGAAACAAUACGAAUGGAUAAGAGUGCAAAUGUUAGAGAUGUAUAGUGAUAUUCGUUAGAUAAAAGCUUUGCCCACCAAGAUUCUGUCCUUCCAUUUUGCCUCCAAGUUGACCUCCGCUUUUUGUUGUUUCUUUUUGCAAAGCACGCUCGUCUUCUUUUUCGAGCGAAACAACUUCUUGUAGCACACAAUAAUAUAGCCAUACAUUGUACCAUUUGAUGAUGGUUUAAUAUAUUGAUGACCAAAAAGCCGUAAAUUUGAAUGAAAACGAUCAAAAAAACAAAAAUAACUAAUACAAUAAUCGUUAUAAGUGCA